CCCCUCUCAGGAUCACACCUGGAGAGGUUCCAGUCCUCUACCAGUCUCGACUAUGGAAGCGAAAGUCAAGCAGAGGCCUGUCCAUUCCAUUCCUAGCUUGGGCAGUGGCUAGGGAGUGGAAGGCAAUCUGCUACUAGU
Small nucleolar RNA from Tachyglossus aculeatus (Australian echidna), 138 nucleotides. Lineage: Eukaryota; Metazoa; Chordata; Mammalia; Monotremata; Tachyglossidae. The record is from RefSeq and is a predicted model, not a curated record.